ACACGCGAAAACAACAAAACAAAAAAAAGGUGAACACACACGACAAAAAAAAAACAAAAAAAAGGGUGAACACACACGAUAACAACAAAAGAAAAAAAGGGUGCCCGGAGAGAUUGUCCUCAACCUCCUGCCUACGUAUCUCAUCUGGUAUGAGAAUCAGGGCGACGUAGUUCCCCUUACCAGGGGUAAAACACUCUCCUAACCAGAGACCAGGGAAACAACAAACUAAUAGGGUAAUCAGGGCGACGUAGUUCCCCUUACCAGGGGUAAAACACUCUCCUAACCAGAGACCAGGGAAACAACAAACUAAUAGGGAGACUAAGGCUCGAGCCUAAUAGUUGUCAUGCAAUCAAUAUCCCUAAGUUGAGGUCUCUAACAAGUGAA
RNAcentral lists this long non-coding RNA (384 nucleotides) under Lathyrus oleraceus (garden pea). RNAcentral describes it as "Pisum sativum (pea) long non-coding RNA (PSAT_LNC019792)". Lineage: Eukaryota; Viridiplantae; Streptophyta; Magnoliopsida; Fabales; Fabaceae. The record is from RNAcentral.